Vigna umbellata (rice bean) is the source of this 1937-nucleotide non-coding RNA. The record is from RefSeq and is a predicted model, not a curated record. Lineage: Eukaryota; Viridiplantae; Streptophyta; Magnoliopsida; Fabales; Fabaceae.
UUGUGAUUUUCCUUAGAAGACAUCGGAAGGAGAGUGGACCUGAUCAAACGAUUAUUAGGUUUAGGAGAGAAUGAAUGAAAAGUAAAAAGGGAAAGUGGAAAACUAUAGAAAUCCGUGGAAAGAACAAAGAACACAAAAGGUUGGUUCAACAUAAUUUCCCGCACAACACGCGUUCGUUCCAUUGGGAGCUCUGUUUCAUCAUCAUCAUCUCACUGCUUCUGAUUCUGAAUUCAACCACUCUCAUGGGUAUCUCAUGGAGUAGCAGAAGAAGAAACAAUUACAUCCAAAACACACCGCCUCCACUCCCACCUCCCCUUUACUAUUACCGUCCCCAAUUCAACCACCCUCCUCCUCAGCUGCCACCGCAGGGCUACUUUCAACCUUCCACAACCACUUACUCCCCCCACAACAACAACAACUAUGCUGCUCCCCCUCCCUUGGUUCCACCGCCACAGACGCCACAGCCGCCACCGCCGCCGCAGACUCAUUCCAUCUCCUUCUAUCACCCCAACCAGAGUGCCUAUACCAACUACGCCAAUUCCGCGCCCAAUCGCCAUCACUACCCACCUUCAUACCACUCUCAGCCUACCCUGUUGCCGGCCGCCACUCGCGCCUCUGCCUCCACUCCUCCACCCUAUGUCGAUCACCAGACUGCGAAGAAGAUACGAAACUAUGUUAACGUCCACAAAGACACCCUGCGCCUCGAGGUUGACCAGGAAAACCCCGAUCAUCAUCUCAUUUCCUUCGUUUUCGAUGCUGUCUACGAUGGCAGCAUUACUGUCUCCUACUUUGCCAAAGAAGAAGAAAAAUGUAGGUUUGUUCCAUUAUUUCCUGAUGCAUUUCAGCCAGUCACAAUACCCUUUCAGAAAGGAGCCGGCCAGACAUUUUCCCAGCCUUCGGGAACAGGAAUUGACCUAGGCUUCUUUGAGUUGGAUGAUCUUUCAAAGUCCUCACCUGGAGAAGAUGUGUUUCCUCUAGUAAUAUGUGCCGAAACAAGUUUGAAAACACCCUCGGAAGAUGAAACUCCGGGUGAUUCUGUUGUAGAUACAUCACCUCACAUGCAAAUAACUCAAGGUGUCUUGGAGAAAAGUAAUGGUGCUGGUUCUUUCCAUAUAAAAGUGGUAAGGCAGAUUUUGUGGAUUGAUGGUGUUAGAUAUGAGUUGAGAGAGUUAUAUGGAAUAGCAAGCUCACCUGCAGCUGAUUUUGACGACAAUGAUCCCGGGAAGGAGUGUGUCAUAUGCAUGACUGAACCAAAGGAUACAGCUGUCUUACCUUGUCGACAUAUGAUACAUAGCCCUGGAUAAUAGCAUUAUUUGUAUUUGCACGAGAUCGCUUGUGGAAGUUAAGAGAUCAUGGGAAUUAUAUUAGUCAUGCUUCAUUCGGAUUUAUAGGCCUAAAAGCGUAGGUAGUAUUUGCAUGAGAUUGCUCGGGGAAAACCGAGCUCAUUUGUAUGUGCGGUGACUGUGCAAAAGAUUUGCGACUUCAAUCCAAUAAAUGCCCUAUAUGCCGUCAGCCUAUCGAGGAACUUAUACAGAUCAAAGUAAACAAUGACAAUCAAUGAGAUUUUUCUUCUGAUGCCAAGUUGCAGGGUAUUAUCAAUAAAUUCCUUUUAAGAAAUUCCCCCUUUUUUUCAAGUUUGCAGUAAGGUAGUAUAUAUCAAUUUCUUUCUUUUUUUUUUUUUUAAAUUUAGUCAAUAAUCUGUUUAUAGUUAUUGUGAUGUGUUCAUGGGAAAAUUAGAUCUUUCGUGAUUGAAGGCGUCGUCCCGUGUCAUCUAUAUUGUACAGGCGAUCAUUUUUCUGUAGUUUGUCUUGAUGGUGUUUAUUGUCUAGAGUUAUCCAUGAAUAAGGGAGAAAUGAGAUAAUACCUUGGUUGGUCCAUUCUGAAUCUUUGAAAGUUAUUACAUAUUUAAACAUGUAUAGUGGAUGUUUGAAACUUAU